AACGAACGCUGGCGGCAUGCCUAACACAUGCAAGUCGAACGAGACCUUCGGGUCUAGUGGCGCACGGGUGCGUAACGCGGGGGAACCUGCCCGUAGGUUCGGAAUAACUCCCCGAAAGGGGGGCUAAUACCGGAUAAUGUCUUCGGACCAAAGAUUUAUCGACUGUGGAUGGGCCCGCGUUGGAUUAGCUAGGUGGUAGGGUAAAAGCCUACCAAGGCGACGAUCCAUAGCUGGUCUGAGAGGAUGAUCCGCCACACUGGGACUGAGACACGGCCCAGACUCCUACGGGAGGCAGCAGUGGGGAAUAUUGGACAAUGGGCGAAAGCCUGAUCCAGCAAUGCCGCGUGAGUGAUGAAGGCCUUAGGGUUGUACAGCUCUUUUACCCGGGAUGAUAAUGACAGUACCGGGAGAAUAAGCUCCGGCUAACUCCGUG
This 433-nucleotide ribosomal RNA is filed under the name uncultured bacterium. RNAcentral's name for it is "partial 16S ribosomal RNA". It matches the Rfam family "Bacterial small subunit ribosomal RNA", at positions 29 to 507 of the family's 1533-position model. The record is from RNAcentral.